Molecule: long non-coding RNA, 946 nt
Organism: Oncorhynchus keta (chum salmon)
Lineage: Eukaryota; Metazoa; Chordata; Actinopteri; Salmoniformes; Salmonidae
Exons: 3
Source: RefSeq, a predicted model, not a curated record
CUCAUUUUGUUAGGUUACAGCCUUACUCAUUUUGUUACGUUACAGCCUUGCUCAUUUUGUUAGGUUACAGCCUUACUCAUUUUGUUAGGUUACAGCCUUACUCAUUUUGUUACGUUACAGCCUUACUCAUUUUGUAAGGUUACAACCUUACUCAUUUUCUUAGGUUACAGCCUUACUCAUUUUGUUAGAUUAAAGCCUUACUCAUUUUGUUAGGUUACAGCAUUGCUCAUUUUGUUAGGUUACAGCCUUGCUCAUUUUGUUAGGUUACAGCCUUGCUCAUUUUGUUAGGUUACAGCCUUGCUCAUUUUGUUAGGUUACAGCCUUGCUCAUUUUGUUAGGUUACAGCCUUAUUCAUUUUGUUAUGUUAAAGCCUUACUCAUUUUGUUACGUUACAGCCUUACUCAUUUUGUUAGGUUACAGCCUUACUCAUUUUGUUAGGUUACAGCCUUACUCAUUUUGUUAGGUUACAGCCUUACUCAUUUUGUUAGGUUACAGCCUUACUCAUUUUGUUAGGUUACAGCCUUACUCAUUUUGUUAGGUUACAGCCUUACUCAUUUUGUUAGGUUACAGCCUUGCUCAUUUUGUUAGGUUACAGCCUUACUCAUUUUGUUAGGUUACAGCCUUACUCAUUUUGUUAGGUUACAGCCUUACUCAUUUUGUUAGGUUACAGCCUUGCUCAUUUUGUUAGGUUACAGCCUUGCUCAUUUUGUUAGGUUACAGCCUUACUCAUUUUGUUAGGUUACAGCCUUACUCAUUUUGUUAGGUUACAGCCUUGCUCAUUUUGUUAGGUUACAGCCUUACUCAUUUUGUUAGGUUACAGCCUUACUCAUUUUGUUAGGUUACAGCCUUACUCAUUUUGUUAGGUUACAGCCUUACUCAUUUUGUUAGGUUACAGCCUUACUCAUUUUGUUAGGUUACAGCCUUACUCAUUUUGUUACGUUACAGC